AGAGUUUGAUCCUGGCUCAGGAUGAACGCUGGCGGCGUGCCUAACACAUGCAGUCGUACGAGCUCGAUCUUCGGAACGGGUUAGUGGCGCACGGGUGAGUAACACGUAGGUGACCUACCCCAGAGUGGGGGGAUAACUUCUCGAAAGAGAGGCUAAUACCGCAUACACUCGGUCAUUCAUUUGGCCGAGCAAAGCUCCGGCGCUUUGGGACGGGCCUGCGUCCGAUUAGCUAGUUGGUAGGGUAAUGGCUUACCAAGGCUUUGAUCGGUAGCUGGUCUGAGAGGACGAUCAGCCACACUGGCACUGACACACGGGCCAGACUCCUACGGGAGGCAGCAGUGAGGAAUAUUGGGCAAUGGGCGAAAGCCUGACCCAGCAACGCCGCGUGAGGGAUGAAGGCCCUCGGGUUGUAAACUGCUUUUGUACGGAACGAAAAGACACUGGCUAAUACCUGGUGUUGAUGACGGUACCGUAAGAAUAAGCACCGGCUAACUACGUG
Molecule: ribosomal RNA, 499 nt
Filed under: uncultured bacterium
Lineage: Bacteria
Description: bacterial SSU rRNA
Rfam family: Bacterial small subunit ribosomal RNA
Source: RNAcentral